This 574-nucleotide ribosomal RNA is filed under the name Stenotrophomonas sp. RNAcentral describes it as "bacterial SSU rRNA". It matches the Rfam family "Bacterial small subunit ribosomal RNA", at positions 153 to 715 of the family's 1533-position model. The record is from RNAcentral. Lineage: Bacteria; Pseudomonadati; Pseudomonadota; Gammaproteobacteria; Lysobacterales; Lysobacteraceae.
GGAACUUACGCUAAUACCGCAUACGACCUUCGGGUGAAAGCAGGGGACCUUCGGGCCUUGCGCGGAUAGAUGAGCCGAUGUSGGAUUAGCUAGUUGGCGGGGUAAAGGCCCACCAAGGCGACGAUCCGUAGCUGGUCUGAGAGGAUGAUCAGCCACACUGGAACUGAGACACGGUCCAGACUCCUACGGGAGGCAGCAGUGGGGAAUAUUGGACAAUGGGCGCAAGCCUGAUCCAGCCAUACCGCGUGGGUGAAGAAGGCCUUCGGGUUGUAAAGCCCUUUUGUUGGGAAAGAAAAGCAGUCGAUUAAUACUCGGUUGUUCUGACGGUACCCAAAGAAUAAGCACCGGCUAACUUCGUGCCAGCAGCCGCGGUAAUACGAAGGGUGCAAGCGUUACUCGGAAUUACUGGGCGUAAAGCGUGCGUAGGUGGUUGUUUUAAGUCUUGUUGUGAAAGCCCUGGGCUCAACCCUGGGAAUUGCAGUGGAUACUGGGCGACUAGAGUGUGGGUAGAGGGUAGUGGAAUUCCCGGUGUAGCAGUGAAAUUGCGUAGAGAUCCGGGAGGAAACAUCCAUGG